This 439-nucleotide ribosomal RNA is filed under the name Elysia rubeni. RNAcentral describes it as "partial large subunit ribosomal RNA". It matches the Rfam family "Bacterial large subunit ribosomal RNA", at positions 1829 to 2596 of the family's 2925-position model. The record is from RNAcentral. Lineage: Eukaryota; Metazoa; Mollusca; Gastropoda; Plakobranchidae.
AGCCUCAAGGUUUUAUUUGAGGCGAGGCCUGCCCAGUGCUAGUUGUAAACGGCCGCAGUACCUUGACUGUGCUAAGGUAGCAUAAUCAGUUGGCUUUUAAAUGGAGUCGGGAAUGAAUGGAUUUAUGGGGUGAAGCUGUCUCUUUUGUAUAAAAUUGAAUUUUCUUACUAGGUGAAAAUGCUUAGAAUUAGAAAAAAGACGAGAAGACCCUAGGAGUUUUUAUUAGUGGCUAAGUGUAAGUUAGCUAACGUUUUUGUUGGGGCGACAUAGGAGUAAUUGAGAUAUAACCUCCUUUUUUGAUCUGCCGACUUAGUAUGGGCAAGUAAACUACCCUAGGGAUAACAGCGUAAUCCUUUUAGGGCUUGCGACCUCGAUGUUGGACUAGGAAUUUAGUAGGCUAGCCGCUUACUUAUAUUGUUCUGUUCGAACUGUUUUUCCU